CCCGUGCAGAGCGAUGCAGACGGCGGGACUGGAGGAGGUCCAGAUGGAUAUCACCACGCUUUUAAUUAUUGUUCUUAUCGUUCUCCUCCUAGGUGGCGGCUGGUACGGCCGAGGACGCUGGUAUUAAUCGGAACCCGAAGGGCCCGGUCUACCGUGGUGGCCAGGAACUCCGACGUCGAAUAUUCGUCUGGCAGUGCCCGGCAAAUCAACAGCAUUGGAGCCGAC
This 225-nucleotide small RNA is filed under the name Sinorhizobium meliloti 2011. RNAcentral's name for it is "putative ncRNA". The record is from RNAcentral. Lineage: Bacteria; Pseudomonadati; Pseudomonadota; Alphaproteobacteria; Hyphomicrobiales; Rhizobiaceae.